GCGUUAAUCGCUACUACCAAACGACUGCUGUCGUUGUAUCGAGGUGGCAGACUCAUCGGGUCUUCUGUCCUCGUGCAACGCUGGCGUCUGUGAGGAAUGC
Molecule: unclassified non-coding RNA, 100 nt
Filed under: Mussaenda densiflora
Lineage: Eukaryota; Viridiplantae; Streptophyta; Magnoliopsida; Gentianales; Rubiaceae
Description: partial external transcribed spacer
Source: RNAcentral